Molecule: ribosomal RNA, 614 nt
Filed under: Aspergillus flavipes
Lineage: Eukaryota; Fungi; Ascomycota; Eurotiomycetes; Eurotiales; Aspergillaceae
Description: eukaryotic LSU rRNA
Rfam family: Eukaryotic large subunit ribosomal RNA
Source: RNAcentral
GCAUAUCAAUAAGCGGAGGAAAAGAAACCAACCGGGAUUGCCUCAGUAACGGCGAGUGAAGCGGCAAGAGCUCAAAUUUGAAAGCUGGCCCCUCCGGGGUCCGCAUUGUAAUUUGCAGAGGAUGCUUCGGGUGCAGCCCCCGUCUAAGUGCCCUGGAAUGGGCCGUCAGAGAGGGUGAGAAUCCCGUCUGGGAUGGGGUGCCUGUGCCCGUGUGAAGCUCCUUCGACGAGUCGAGUUGUUUGGGAAUGCAGCUCUAAAUGGGUGGUAAAUUUCAUCUAAAGCUAAAUAUUGGCCGGAGACCGAUAGCGCACAAGUAGAGUGAUCGAAAGAUGAAAAGCACUUUGAAAAGAGAGUUAAACAGCACGUGAAAUUGUUGAAAGGGAAGCGCUUGCGACCAGACUCGCCUCCGGGGUUCAGCCGGCAUUCGUGCCGGUGUACUUCCCCGGGGGCGGGCCAGCGUCGGUUUGGGCGGCCGGUCAAAGGCCUCCGGAAUGUAGCGCCCUUCGGGGCGCCUUAUAGCCGGGGGUGCAAUGCGGCCAGCCUGGACCGAGGAACGCGCUUCGGCUCGGACGCUGGCAUAAUGGUCGUAAACGACCCGUCUUGAAACACGGACC